UUUGGUCAACUAGGGUUGAACCCAGAGGGCAAUACAGAGCAAGAACGAGAACAAAAGAAAGCCAGCCUGUGCAUUACACCGGUUUUUAGCCUUUACUUUCAUUUUGUUUACUAGGGUUGAAACUUUAUAUUUUACUGUACUUGUCUAAAAUACUAUAAUGUAAUGUUAUAUGUGUAAAGUUGUGUUGUAGUGUAUAAACUCUUGUCAUCU
This 210-nucleotide long non-coding RNA is filed under the name Prunus persica (peach). RNAcentral's name for it is "long non-coding RNA (PPER_LNC004895)". The record is from RNAcentral. Lineage: Eukaryota; Viridiplantae; Streptophyta; Magnoliopsida; Rosales; Rosaceae.